UACGGGGGGGGCAAGCGUUGUUCGGAAUUACUGGGCGUAAGGGCUCGUAGGUGGCCAAUUAAGUCAGACGUGAAAUCCCCAGGCUCAACCUGGGAACUGCGUCUGAUACUGGUUGGCUUGAAUUCGGGAGAGGGAUGCAGAAUUCCAGGUGUAGCGGUGAAAUGCGUAGAUAUCUGGAGGAAUACCGGUGGCGAAGGCGGCAUCCUGGACCGAGAUUGACACUGAGGAGCGAAAGCCAGGGGAGCAAACGGG
Molecule: ribosomal RNA, 252 nt
Filed under: uncultured bacterium
Lineage: Bacteria
Description: partial 16S ribosomal RNA
Rfam family: Bacterial small subunit ribosomal RNA
Source: RNAcentral